RNAcentral lists this transfer RNA (70 nucleotides) under Marmota monax (woodchuck). RNAcentral's name for it is "tRNA.Ala". The record is from RNAcentral. Lineage: Eukaryota; Metazoa; Chordata; Mammalia; Rodentia; Sciuridae.
GGGCUGGGGCUCAGCGGGAGAGUGCUCACCUAGCACGUGUGAGGCCCUGGGUUCAAUCCUCAGCACCACA